GAUGAAGAACGUAGCGAAUUGCGAUAUGUAAUGUGAAUUGCAGAAUUCAGUGAAUCAUCGAAUCUUUGAACGCACAUUGCGCCCAUUAGCAUUCUAGUGGGCAUGCCUGUUCGAGCGUCAUUUCAACCCUUAAGCCCUGUUGCUUAGCGUUGGGAGCCUACAGUACUGUAGCUCCCCAAAGUUAGUGGCGGAGUCGGUUUCACACUCUAGACGUAGUAAUUUUUUCUCGUCUGUAGUUGAGCCGGUCCCCUGCCGUAAAACACCCAAUUUAUCAAGGUUGACCUCGGAUCAGGUAGGAAUACCCGCUGAACUUAAGCAUAUCAAUAAGCGGAGGA
This 335-nucleotide unclassified non-coding RNA is filed under the name soil metagenome. Its description in RNAcentral is "partial contains 5.8S ribosomal RNA, internal transcribed spacer 2, and large subunit ribosomal RNA". The stretch from base 1 to 120 matches the Rfam family "5.8S ribosomal RNA", at positions 35 to 154 of the family's 154-position model. The record is from RNAcentral.